GGAUGUGAGGGCAAUCUGGCUGUGCCAUCUGUCACCCCACUGAUCGCCAGGGUUGAUCUGGCUGAUCUGGCUGGCUACGCAGGUGUCCCCUUCCUCCUUCACUGUUCAAUGUGUGUCCCUCUGGAAGCUGUGCGCUCAGUCCAAGAGGUGACCACUCCCAAUAGAGGAGGACCGUUUCCUCACUCAGGGCUAUAUGAGUAGCUGUGCUCCCCUGCUAGAACCUCAAAACAAGCUCUCAAAUCAGGGAGUCAACAGUAAACGCUGUGUAAAUAUCCCCAAAUCUGAAAAACUUCGAAAUCUGAACUAUUUCUGGUCUCAAACAUUU
Molecule: small nuclear RNA, 325 nt
Filed under: Heterocephalus glaber (naked mole-rat)
Lineage: Eukaryota; Metazoa; Chordata; Mammalia; Rodentia; Bathyergidae
Description: 7SK RNA
Rfam family: 7SK RNA
About the family: 7SK was discovered as an abundant small nuclear RNA in the mid-70s but a possible function has only recently been suggested. Two independent studies have found that 7SK RNA binds the CDK9/cyclin T complex (known as elongation factor P-TEFb).
Source: Rfam by way of RNAcentral